CUACGGAGGGUGCAAGCGUUACUCGGAAUCACUGGGCGUAAAGCGCGCGCAGGCGGUCUUUUAAGUUGGAUGUGAAAGCCUACGGCUCAACCGUAGAACUGCAUCCAAAACUAUUAGACUAGAGUGUGGGAGAGGAAGAUGGAAUUAGUUGUGCAGGGGUAAAAUCCGUAGAGAUAACUAGGAAUACCAAAAGCGAAGGCAAUCUUCUGGAACACUACUGACGCUGAGGCGCGAAAGCGUGGGGAGCAAACAGGAUUAGAAACCCUUGUAGUCC
Molecule: ribosomal RNA, 274 nt
Filed under: uncultured bacterium
Lineage: Bacteria
Description: partial 16S ribosomal RNA
Rfam family: Bacterial small subunit ribosomal RNA
Source: RNAcentral